AUUGAACGCUGGCGGCAUGCCUUACACAUGCAAGUCGAACGGUAACAGGUCUUCGGAUGCUGACGAGUGGCGAACGGGUGAGUAAUACAUCGGAACGUGCCUAGUAGUGGGGGAUAACUACUCGAAAGAGUGGCUAAUACCGCAUGAGAGCUACGGAUGAAAGAAGGGGAUCGCCAGACCUUGUGCUACUAGAGCGGCCGAUGGCAGAUUAGGUAGUUGGUGAGAUAACAGCUUACCAAGCCUACGAUCUGUAGCUGGUCUGAGAGGACGAUCAGCCACACUGGGACUGAGACACGGCACCGACUCCUACGGGAGGCAGCAGUGGGGAAUUUUGGACAAUGGGCGCAAGCCUGAUCCAGCAAUGCCGCGUGCAGGAUGAAGGCCUUCGGGUUGUAAACUGCUUUUGUACGGAACGAAAAGCCCCGGGUUAAUACCCUGGGGUCAUGACGGUACCGUAAGAAUAAGCACCGGCUAACUACGUGCCAGCCGCCGCGGUAA
Molecule: ribosomal RNA, 498 nt
Filed under: uncultured bacterium
Lineage: Bacteria
Description: partial 16S ribosomal RNA
Rfam family: Bacterial small subunit ribosomal RNA
Source: RNAcentral